Molecule: small RNA, 346 nt
Filed under: Histoplasma capsulatum
Lineage: Eukaryota; Fungi; Ascomycota; Eurotiomycetes; Onygenales; Ajellomycetaceae
Also listed under: 1 other name
Description: hypothetical RNA
Source: RNAcentral
GAUGCCACUAGUCGGUUGGGCUGAAUGCUGGCCCCCUCGUUUUAUGUCUCGUUUAGGGAUCCGCACGUCUGCAUUUCAAGACGUAGGCGGGCUUGAAUGCCACGAGAGCGUGUGAUUACUGUAUUUCCACAACAAUACUCCGUAUAGCAUAGGGGGUUGGGGUGUGCAUCCACACCCCGCCCAGCCUGACAUCUUUUCCAGGGAAACCCAACGGGGUUUUAUCUCUAGAUUAUGGCCCAGGCUUAACGCACGGGAUGGGCAGUAUAUGAAUCAUCAGCAUGUUUUCAACCACCCUGCGAUCACCAUGCUUGUAGGGCCUCAUAGGAUUCAUGGCACAAAAGUUAAG